Molecule: long non-coding RNA, 3641 nt
Organism: Triticum dicoccoides
Lineage: Eukaryota; Viridiplantae; Streptophyta; Magnoliopsida; Poales; Poaceae
Exons: 2
Source: RefSeq, a predicted model, not a curated record
ACCAGAUCUGCCCCAAAUUGAACCCUAUUCCACAAGUAGUCCUCCCAGACCAGCGCCGCCGCCGCCGCCCUCCGCCGUCGACCUCCUCCACCAACCAGUGCGCCCCCCAUCGACGUACGCGCCUCACGACGCCGACUCGUCAUCGCCUUCCUUCGGCACCGCCACCGGGGCAGGUCAACUAUGGCGGUGCGUCGAGGUCGAAGUCAACGUCGCCUCCCUCUCCAGCCCCAGAUCCCGUGGCGAAAAUCGCCACCACCAUACCGGCGCGCUCUUCUCCAUGGCACUCCAAGGUAACGAGCACGGGUGAGCUCCCCACCACAGCUCCCUCCAUCCCAACGGCACGAGAGGUGCUCAGAUCCAUCACGCUGGACAACACGCUGCUCAGAUCCGUCAUGCUGGAGUCUCCUCCUCUUUCCCAUGUACUCCUUUGCUACUCAGAGGAGGUGAGGUUGCCCAGCUUCUUUGUUCGAUUUUCUUUUCCUGCUACCGCAGACUGCCAGCGACCAUGUCCUCUGGACUUUUUUCUGUCCAUGAGCUCGCGGAGCUGAGGAUUUGCUUUUUGUGCCUACCUUAGCUACAUUGCUUCUUAGCAAAUAUUCACCAUCUUACAUUUUUAUAACUGAUUUUCUAUUUUGCGACUGUAAAACAAGAAGGCAGUAGAAUAACUACAAAAGGAGAAGGAAUCUGAUGUCCCAACAAAGCACAUGUGAAGAGCGCUCCAGGGAGAAAGAAGAAGGAAACAACAAUCUUGCAAACGAAUAAAGAAACAACAGCUUCAUGACAAAAAAUUUCAUGAGUGGAAAUCCUUUUUAAUGGACUGAUGGUGGGACUUGGGAGCAAGGGUAUACAUGUGUGGAAGCCAUCCUUUGCAUAAUUUUAUUCCAAAUAUAUAUACUUUCUCCUCUUAACUGGGGGAUAUUUCAAAAAGGGAGGAUCUCGUGUGUAAGAAUUGGUUGACCCUGCAUUUUACUAUUCAUUAUUAUUUAUACACCCCGAAUGUAAAGUGUCACCAUGUGUGAAUUUAUAAUCAGCCGUAGUAAUCUUGAUAUAGAUAUACACACACACUGAAGUCUGAAAACAAGCUAGUAAAACUACUUGCUUUGAAAGCAACACUACAUUUUAUAUUGAGUGGUACUGCCAUUGCCUCACCUUUGAUUGCUAUAUGAACCAUGCUAUUAUUGAGACAAUGGAGUGGGAUGUCAAUGCCAUUGGUUGAGUGCAAAUAUUUAGUUUUUGUAUUUAAAUUAUGAGUGAAAGGGUGAGACAGAGUUUGUUACUGCAUUUACGCCAUUUAGUUUGUUCAAAUAUUUGCUUGGAGCUAUGUAAGUUUACAUCGGUGCCAUAAAUUAUGCUUCAACUUUCAUACCAUCGGAUACAUAAUAGUUUCUGUAUAAUUUUCAACUUUAUAAGCAAUUCAGCAGCUACAUUGUUACAGGAAAUUAGAUACUCUGAGAAGCUUCUGCAAGAUCUAGAUAUCAUUUGUUCUCUAUCGCUCGAGCCUUUGUGUUUGACACUAACAAAAAUAUAAAACGCGGGUGUGCCAGUGUCCACGCCAGCAUCAAAAGAUGCAUGCCGGCCGGUGGCACAAAUACCCGAAUACGUAUGUGUACAUAAGCAGGUAUUCAGCCAUGUAUAUAUAUAUAUAUAUAUAUAUAUAUAUAUAUAUAUAUAUAUAUAUAUAUAUACAGGCUGAUGCAUGCGUCACUGCUUUACAAAAAAACCGUAUUGAUCCGUGCAUUUUGGUCCUUGUAAGACUAGGCUGGUGAAUCAUCUGACCGUGACAUCCCCACUAAUGCAUCGCUUUAAUCAAUCCACUAACUUAUACACGCACGUCUUGCCUCUACGUACAUCUGCAUGGCAUUUUUUUUAGUUGUGCAUGGCAUAAUAUUUAAAUCUGUAUGGGCACUCCUUGCUCCAUAGAUAUGUUCUCAAGCUUCUCCCAAGCUUGUUAGGAAAAGAGAAUAUUGGGACAAAAUAUUUUCGUACUAUUUCUAGUAUGAAUUCUCAUCGAACACUGUGCUUGUGAAUGUGCUUCAGUUCAAUGGAUAACUCCAAAAACCUGUACCUAAUUUGAUCCUGAUAGCAUUUUCUUCAGGUGGUAACACUUGUCUCAGUUAUUACAGUAACUUUGUCAAUGUAGAGUUGUUUUGCAGUUUGCACUAUUAGAAGUAUCUCCUAGAUAAAAAAUAUUCUAUAACCAAACAUGAUUAAUACAUGUGUUGUGUUUGAUAUAGAUUUGUAGCUUAUAUCAUUUAUAUAAUACAUCAGUUUUUCAAUUGUAUAUUUAUAUGGGUUGUUCAUUAACUAAGGCCCUAUUCGGAUCCCCUCCGCUCCCCUACUGCAGCUCCCGGAGCAGAGGGAGUGCCAGCACAAUCGCGCGGAGCAGUUCGAACCCGGCUCCUCGCGCGGAGCGGAGUUGAGAAUCUAGAGAGCUUCCGAACAGGCAGUAACUUUUGCACAAAUUUGGUUACGAGUCAUUGCUUUUUGCACAAAUUUGGUCAUGGGGUAAUCAAUCCAGAAUCUCAACAUUCUAGCAUUUUGCACAAAUUUGUGAAGUUCGACUUCUUAGUGUCAUGGCUCACAACUAAAUGUUCCAGGAUUAUUAUAUUGCAGAACUCAGAUGUGAAAAUCAAACUACUUUUGCUUGAUCCUAUUGAGUAUGAACAUGAAACAAUGCUUGCCUGUGCUGUCAGCUACUGUUCCUAAUUCACCACACAUUGUGCUAUCUUUCAUUCAAUUAAAUGUAUAACCUUGCUUUUCAUUUGAUUCGUACAACAACUGCAUCUUGCUUCCAGAAUUUCUUCAUGGUCCUGUAUAAUCUAUCUCUCAUAAUUAUAUACACAUUAUGCCUGAACCUGUGUUGUUUGUGUGAAAGGAAACAUCUCUAGUAUUUUCAAAUGUUUAUACAUAGCUUGAACUAUAUUGGAAGGUAUCAAUGUUUGUGAAUUAAUACUCAAGCCACAAUAAUAUUGGUAUAGAUAUAUAUGUGAAGCUUGAAAAUACGCCAGUAGGAAUACAUGUCAGCUGCCAUAUGUAGUUGUAAGCUACUUGCUUUAAAAACAUCACUAUGGUUUGCUUUUUUGCUUGCAAAAUGAUUAUUAUGCAAGCAUGUAUUUGCUGUCUGAGCCUAUAUCCUUUGUUUGUGUGCUACAGUACAUAUCAUUUACCAAAGUUAUUAGCUCAUGGCAUUUGAACCAUCUUAUCUAUUCAGGUUGGCAUCAUCACUGGAAGAUGUUUCUACAUGAUGUUUCUUCUCUUCGUAUUAACAUCUUAAAAGCAUUACAAAUUCGUAACUCUUCUGCUGGAGACAUGUGGCCAUCUUCGAAUAAUGCAGUUUCAUUGGAUGGUGUGAGUUUGGUAUUCAGAUGAAUAUGUUAAUUCCAUCAAAGAAACAGCUUGAACAGAAAUGUACAAAAGAGUAAUCACGCAACUUGUAUUCGUGGACAUGGCUACAGCUAUGCACUAAAGUUAAACCAUUUGUGUAGCUUCAGUCUAAGGACACAAAAUCUUAUCGUCUUAUGUAAAUUUUGUUAACCGUUGUAGCUAGAUGCUACUAAACACAUGUACGGAAAUAAGCUUAUUUGUACUGAACUUUUAGUUUGUGAAUGUUUAUGAAAGUUUAAGGUUUUGGGUGAGGUAUA